RNAcentral lists this ribosomal RNA (660 nucleotides) under Kuraishia capsulata. RNAcentral's name for it is "SSU rRNA". It matches the Rfam family "Eukaryotic small subunit ribosomal RNA", at positions 947 to 1617 of the family's 1831-position model. Lineage: Eukaryota; Fungi; Ascomycota; Pichiomycetes; Pichiales; Pichiaceae. The record is from RNAcentral.
GAAAGCAUACGUGCCAAGGCACGUUUUCCAUUAAUCAAGAACGAAAGUUAGGGGAUCGAAGAUGAUCAGAUACCGUCGUAGUCUUAACCAUAAACUAUGCCGACUAGGGAUCGGGCGUUGUUCUUUUUAUGACUCGCUCGGCACCUUACGAAAAAACAAAGUUUUUGGGUUCUGGGGGGAGUAUGGUCGCAAGGCUGAAACUUAAAGGAAUUGACGGAAGGGCACCACCAGGAGUGGAGCCUGCGGCUUAAUUUGACUCAACACGGGAAAUCUCACCAGGUCCAGACACAAUAAGGAUUGACAGAUUGAGAGCUCUUUCUUGAUUUUGUGGGUGGUGGUGCAUGGCCGUUCUUAGUUGGUGGAGUGAUUUGUCUGCUUAAUUGCGAUAACGAACGAGACCUUAACCUACUAAAUAGUGCUGUUAGCUUCGGCUGAACUGGCACUUCUUAGAGGGACUAUCGAUUUCAAGUCGAUGGAAGUUUGAGGCAAUACCCAGGUCUGUGAUGCCCUUAGACGUUCUGGGACCGCACGCCGCGCAACACUGACGGAGCCAGCAAGUACUAUCCCUUGGCCGAACGGUCCGGGUAAUCCCCUGAAAUCCCGGCGUGCCUGCGGGAUAGAGCCUUGAAAUUAUUGCCUCUUCCCACGAGGAAUCCCUAC